This 311-nucleotide ribosomal RNA is filed under the name Streptocephalus proboscideus. Its description in RNAcentral is "partial 12S ribosomal RNA". The record is from RNAcentral. Lineage: Eukaryota; Metazoa; Arthropoda; Branchiopoda; Anostraca; Streptocephalidae.
GGGUANUAAAUUUCAAACCUAAAGAAUUUGGCGGUUUUUAAACUUACUAGAGGAACCUGUCCUGUAAUCGAUAGUCCACGAANUUAUUNACCUGCUCUUGUAAUCAGCUUAUAUACCGCCGUUUAGUGAACUAAAUAAAUAGCUUCUCUAAAUUAAUUAGUUAAAUAAAUCAGGUCAAGGUGUAGUUUAUGGGUAGGAAGAGAUGGGUUACAAURAUAUUUUAAAUGGAUACUAAGCCUUAGGGUUUAAUUGAAGGUGGAUUUAGAAGUAAAUAUCAAUUAUUUGAAGAAAGCUCUUAAAAAUGUACACAU